This 424-nucleotide ribosomal RNA is filed under the name uncultured bacterium. RNAcentral describes it as "bacterial SSU rRNA". It matches the Rfam family "Bacterial small subunit ribosomal RNA", at positions 508 to 930 of the family's 1533-position model. The record is from RNAcentral.
UCAGCAGCCGCGGUAAUACGUAGGGGGCGAGCGUUGUCCGGAAUGACUGGGCGUAAAGGGCGCGUAGACGGUUGUCUAAGUCUGGAGUGAAAGUCCUGCUUUUAAGGUGGGAAUUGCUUUGGAGACUGGAUGACUUGAGUGCGGAAGAGGUAAGUGGAAUUCCCAGUGUAGCGGUGAAAUGCGUAGAGAUUGGGAAGAACACCAGUGGCGAAGGCGACUUACUGGGCCGUAACUGACGUUGAUGCGCGAAAGCGUGGGGAGCGAACAGGAUUAGAUACCCUGGUAGUCCACGCGGUAAACGAUGAGUGCUAGGUGUAGCGGGUAUCGACCCCUGCUGUGCCGGAGUUAACACAAUAAGCACUCCGCCUGGGGAGUACGGCCGCAAGGUUGAAACUCAAAGGAAUUGACGGGGGCCCGCACAAGC